AACAAUGUAGGAAUUAAUAUUUUUUACUUCAUCGAUAAAUAAUGGGAAGUUUAGGAUUCAAACUGCAUUUCACGAGUUCAUUGAAAGAGUAGAGAGCUGUUCUAACUCAUGCAGCAAUAACAAAUAUACAGAAGCAAGGACAUAAACAACCAGUAGGCACGUAGAAUGGAGAGAGUAUUUCAGUAUUUGAACACCCUAAUCUACGUGUGUACUGUGUUUCAACUAUCCAGUUUAUAUCAUGACUCAUUUAGAGCAGAAUCAUAGGUGAUCAGUGAUGAAUAACGUAUUAUAAGAAGGACGACAAUAUAACUCGG
RNAcentral lists this long non-coding RNA (314 nucleotides) under Capsicum annuum. RNAcentral's name for it is "long non-coding RNA (CANN_LNC015017)". Lineage: Eukaryota; Viridiplantae; Streptophyta; Magnoliopsida; Solanales; Solanaceae. The record is from RNAcentral.